This 2517-nucleotide long non-coding RNA is filed under the name Daphnia magna. RNAcentral's name for it is "uncharacterized LOC116919634". The record is from RNAcentral. Lineage: Eukaryota; Metazoa; Arthropoda; Branchiopoda; Diplostraca; Daphniidae.
GUCAAUGAUUAAAAAACGGAUGCUCAAUCAAAGCAACGUGACUCAAAAAUAAAAAAAGUCAAGGGCGAAGAAAAUGGUUCACGUCAAAAAUCAGCUGAAAAAUCUGUUGGUUCUUUUCGUCAUGUCGCACUGUCCGCCAUUAUCGCCAACGUCGGCCAUUUUGUGCAUCUAUACCUGACGUCACCCCAAAACCGUACAGAGAAGGCCAGAUGCGCAGAGACGAAUGGAGGAGAGGGGAAAAAACAAAACACAAGUCGUCAUAAUACAAAGUGCACGGGAAUUUGGACGACUCAUCCAUUGCCACUGUGUGUCUCUAUGUGUGCAGCAUCCAUUUUGUGUUCGUCUCUUUAGACGUCGAGCCAGUCUAUUUCAGGAGUCAUCCCUGGGCAACCCGAAAAGCUUCUGACGUUUACGGUUGUUGCAUGCAUCUUUUUUUGGAAAAAGGGAAGAUGACGAAGGCUGAAGCAGCGGUGGCGGCAGCAGCCACAUGGAAUUCCACCUGUUAGUUGGUUUGCUGGAGCUGGAAGCGUUUGGUUAUCGGCAGCGGUCACGUUCUACUAUCUCGUCUGAACGCGCUAGCAACCCGCUGGUCCGAUCAGAUAUGAAACAUUCCUUUUAUUAUUACUCCCAUUAGAGUUCAAAGAACCAGGCCACUGUUUCUCAUUCAUCGUCCAUACCUCCGAUACAUGUAUGGUAUGCACAUAUAGGCAGACUUACACGGACAAAGACACACACACGUUCGAUGUGUGUUUAAAUAUGUGGUACAGUUACACACAAGUCUGAAAUGUUUUCGCCUCGUUUGUACUACUAGUACGUGGAUUCAAUAAGGAAACUUACAUUUUAAAAAAAUUAAAAAAAGAGGAAAGCCGCCCUCUAGCAAUUGCCAAACAAAUCGAUGCGGAUCCAAAACAAGGAGAGAGAGAGAAAAAAAAAAGCCAGUUAUAGUCAAAUAAGUAAACACGAGCCGAGUUGGUUAUUAGAACGGGGGCUGACGCUCAUGUGUCUGUGUGUGGUUGGAUGUAUACGUGUACAUAACGAUGUUGACUGGGAAUGAAGGAAUGGGGCCGACCCCCUGUUGCUGCCUGAUAUUAUUACAAGCACAGCAGCUUGGACGGACGACGACGUUGCGAGAAACCGCAAACCUGACGAGAGAGAGCUACCCGAGGGCGCCAGCCGUCUGGACGGCCCACACACAACCAACACUGGCCAAACACACAGACGACUAGCUCAGCUACAGACAUUAUUUUCGAUUACAAUACGUGGAUGUAACAAGAAAAGGAAAAAAUAAUCAGAAAAAAAAAAAACAAGUUUGCCACAACCAGGGUCUUAUUUAAAUCAUUCUUCCAUAUCAAGAACACACUAUCCACACGAGGAAGGGGAAUACACAGUAAAACCAAACAAAACAGUAAUAGACCCAAAAAGGGCGACAACAAAUAUUCAAAAAUAUGGUGUUGGUCAAGAGUUCAAAAUAUAGUCAUCAUUGUUUUUCUUGUUUUCUCGUUUUGUAACAACAACAUUAAAAAAAAAAAACACAAAAAUAAAAUAAAAACAAGAAUACUUGUAAAAAAAGAAGGAAAUGAUAAAAAAGAAUGCUGAAGAAUUGAACAAGUGUCAGGCUUAGCCGAGACCUACGUCGAGACACAUCAUCAAAAUGAAGCCGAAUAUGGCUCCCCACGAAGCUUGUCUUCCGUUUCCGCUGCAAAGUGACAAGAGAAUUAUUAGAGAGGAAUCACUUUUGCCUUAUGGCAUACAUGCAGACACACACACACUGUUAUAAGCUGGAUAUUGAUAUCAUUGGUCCCUCCCAGUUUCCGGUCGUCUCUAGUACCCAGUAUCAAGUCAAGAGCCCACAUGUUUCUCUUUUUUUUUUUUUUUUUUGGUUUUUUGGCCUUUAUUGUAUACCAUUAGUCUACCAGCAUCUCUCUAUUACGACAACUUCCUCCAGCAUCUAAUUUCGAUUCCAUAAAUAUUAGAUUCAUUCAAAAACAAUCAAUAUCAACCGAACGCUGAUUCGUUCGACUCAGUCACUAAAACUGGAAUUAACAUUAGUUUUUUGUACAUUACUCUUGAAGUUGGAUGACGAAGAAGAAAAGUAGGAAUAAAAGGAAUGAAAAGACUAGACACAACAUUGAGGCGACCUUCCUAAAGGGUCAUCGAAUUGACUGAUUCGGCUUGUGCACGAUUCCACCAUUAGAAAUGUGAAGCGGAAAUAAACCGAAAUAAACAAACUAAAGCGGAAUCUUUUGCCGGUUACAUUAUUUUGUCUACUUGGCCACAGUCAACAAUUCAUGUUGAACUUCAAUAAUUUACAAAAAGAAAAAGAGACGAAUACCAUGAAACACCGAAAGCGUUCUUACCUAGAUGAUGCUUCAGGAAUUAAAUCAUCACAGACAACGUACACCAUGGCACCGGCUGCGAAGGCCAUUGCGUAAGGCAAGAGUGGCUCAAUCCACGAUACGCCAAUGACUCCUAUUAAUCCAGCUAUAGGUUCAACCAUUCCACUCAGUUGGCCAUACC